Molecule: ribosomal RNA, 56 nt
Filed under: Holothuria leucospilota
Lineage: Eukaryota; Metazoa; Echinodermata; Holothuroidea; Aspidochirotida; Holothuriidae
Description: partial 28S ribosomal RNA
Source: RNAcentral
GGACCUCAGAUCGGACGAGAUAACCCGCUGAAUUUAAGCAUAUUAAUCUCUAGAGG